This 354-nucleotide long non-coding RNA is filed under the name Aotus nancymaae (Ma's night monkey). Its description in RNAcentral is "lncRNA (ENSANAG00000039529.1)". Lineage: Eukaryota; Metazoa; Chordata; Mammalia; Primates; Aotidae. The record is from RNAcentral.
GGGGGGACGGAGGAGAGGCUGGUUGGGCGGCCAGCGGCGGCUCCUCGGCUACCUGUGUGGCCCUCGACCUGGCUCAGGCCCCGGGCAGUCACUGGGGGCUCUUUCCUCGGAUUUUAAGUUCUGAAUGGAGUGAGUGCCAGAAUCUCUGUUCUCGCCGAGGUCCGGUCCACCCGCCCACUGCGGGGUCGCGCUGUUUGUUUAAUUCCUGGCAAAAGGCGAGCGGGCCAGCAGUUGCGGGACAGGUGCAAUGAUUCUGGACUGAGACGCGCUUGGACAGAUGCUAUGUAAUCGUCUCUGUCUGUGCUGAGGACUUCGCUUCAGAAAGGAAAGAGGAGGGAUCGGCUCGCUUCGGCG